This 253-nucleotide ribosomal RNA is filed under the name uncultured bacterium. RNAcentral describes it as "partial 16S ribosomal RNA". It matches the Rfam family "Bacterial small subunit ribosomal RNA", at positions 524 to 776 of the family's 1533-position model. The record is from RNAcentral.
AACGUAGGACGCAAGCGUUAUCCGGAGUUACUGGGCGUAAAGCGCGGGCAGGCGGCUCGAUGCGUCUGAUGUGAAAUCUCCUCGCUCAACGGGGAGAGGCCAUUGGAAACGGUCAAGCUGGAGGGCAGUAGAGGUAGGCGGAAUUCCGGGUGGAGUGGUGAAAUGCGUAGAGAUCAGGAAGAACACCCGUGGCGCAAGCGGCCACCUGGCAGAGCACUGACGCUGAGGCACGAAAGCGUGGGUAGCGAACCGG